RNAcentral lists this non-coding RNA (23 nucleotides) under Arabidopsis thaliana (thale cress). Lineage: Eukaryota; Viridiplantae; Streptophyta; Magnoliopsida; Brassicales; Brassicaceae. The record is from RNAcentral.
UGACGUAUGUGUCUGGGUUUGUG